GUAGGUGGCAAGCGUUGUCCGGAAUUAUUGGGCGUAAAGCGCGCGCAGGCGGUUCUUUAAGUCUGAUGUGAAAGCCCACGGGCUCAACCGCGGAGGGUCAUUGGAAACUGGAGAACUUGAGUACAGAAGAGGAAAGCGGAAUUCCACGUGUAGCGGUGAAAUGCGUAGAGAUGUGGAGGAACACCAGUGGCGAAGGCGGCUUUCUGGUCUGUAACUGACGCUGAGGCGCGAAAGCGUGGGGAGCAAACAGGAUUAGAUACCCUGGUAGUCCACGCCGUAAACGAUGCGUGCUAAGUGUUAGGGGGUUUCCGCCCCUUAGUGCUGCAGCUAACGCAUUAAGCACUCCGCCUGGGGAGUACGACCGCAAGGUUG
This 372-nucleotide ribosomal RNA is filed under the name uncultured organism. Its description in RNAcentral is "partial 16S ribosomal RNA". It matches the Rfam family "Bacterial small subunit ribosomal RNA", at positions 527 to 896 of the family's 1533-position model. The record is from RNAcentral.